UGGUACUGAGACACGGACCAGACUCCUACGGGAGGCAGCAGUAAGGAAUAUUGCACAAUGGGCGCAAGCCUGAUCCGCCCGUGCCCCGUGCACGAAGGAGGCGCUAUGCGUUGUAAACUGCUUUUGUACCAAAGAAAAUCAUUGUACGUGUACCAUGUUAAUAGUAUGGUAAGAAUAGGCAUCGGCUAACUUCGUGCCAGCAGCCGCGGUAAUACGAAGGGAUGC
RNAcentral lists this ribosomal RNA (225 nucleotides) under uncultured bacterium. RNAcentral's name for it is "partial 16S ribosomal RNA". It matches the Rfam family "Bacterial small subunit ribosomal RNA", at positions 314 to 535 of the family's 1533-position model. The record is from RNAcentral.